RNAcentral lists this ribosomal RNA (1567 nucleotides) under Salmonella enterica. RNAcentral describes it as "partial 23S ribosomal RNA". It matches the Rfam family "Bacterial large subunit ribosomal RNA", at positions 1292 to 2837 of the family's 2925-position model. The record is from RNAcentral. Lineage: Bacteria; Pseudomonadati; Pseudomonadota; Gammaproteobacteria; Enterobacterales; Enterobacteriaceae. RNAcentral also lists the same sequence under 1 other name.
GAAUGCUGACAUAAGUAACGAUAAAGCGGGUGAAAAGCCCGCUCGCCGGAAGACCAAGGGUUCCUGUCCAACGUUAAUCGGGGCAGGGUGAGUCGACCCCUAAGGCGAGGCCGAAAGGCGUAGUCGAUGGGAAACGGGUUAAUAUUCCCGUACUUGGUGUUACUGCGAAGGGGGGACGGAGAAGGCUAUGUUGGCCGGGCGACGGUUGUCCCGGUUUAAGCGUGUAGGUGUGUGUUCCAGGUAAAUCCGGUUCACUUUAACACUGAGGCGUGACGACGAGGCACUACGGUGCUGAAGCAACAAAUGCCCUGCUUCCAGGAAAAGCCUCUAAGCAUCAGGUAACAUCAAAUCGUACCCCAAACCGACACAGGUGGUCAGGUAGAGAAUACCAAGGCGCUUGAGAGAACUCGGGUGAAGGAACUAGGCAAAAUGGUGCCGUAACUUCGGGAGAAGGCACGCUGACACGUAGGUGAAGUGAUUUACUCAUGGAGCUGAAGUCAGUCGAAGAUACCAGCUGGCUGCAACUGUUUAUUAAAAACACAGCACUGUGCAAACACGAAAGUGGACGUAUACGGUGUGACGCCUGCCCGGUGCCGGAAGGUUAAUUGAUGGGGUCAGCGCAAGCGAAGCUCCUGAUCGAAGCCCCGGUAAACGGCGGCCGUAACUAUAACGGUCCUAAGGUAGCGAAAUUCCUUGUCGGGUAAGUUCCGACCUGCACGAAUGGCGUAAUGAUGGCCAGGCUGUCUCCACCCGAGACUCAGUGAAAUUGAACUCGCUGUGAAGAUGCAGUGUACCCGCGGCAAGACGGAAAGACCCCGUGAACCUUUACUAUAGCUUGACACUGAACAUUGAGCCUUGAUGUGUAGGAUAGGUGGGAGGCUUUGAAGUGUGGACGCCAGUCUGCAUGGAGCCGACCUUGAAAUACCACCCUUUAAUGUUUGAUGUUCUAACGUGGACCCGUUACCCGGGUUGCGGACAGUGUCUGGUGGGUAGUUUGACUGGGGCGGUCUCCUCCUAAAGAGUAACGGAGGAGCACGAAGGUUGGCUAAUCCUGGUCGGACAUCAGGAGGUUAGUGCAAUGGCAUAAGCCAGCUUGACUGCGAGCGUGACGGCGCGAGCAGGUGCGAAAGCAGGUCAUAGUGAUCCGGUGGUUCUGAAUGGAAGGGCCAUCGCUCAACGGAUAAAAGGUACUCCGGGGAUAACAGGCUGAUACCGCCCAAGAGUUCAUAUCGACGGCGGUGUUUGGCACCUCGAUGUCGGCUCAUCACAUCCUGGGGCUGAAGUAGGUCCCAAGGGUAUGGCUGUUCGCCAUUUAAAGUGGUACGCGAGCUGGGUUUAGAACGUCGUGAGACAGUUCGGUCCCUAUCUGCCGUGGGCGCUGGAGAACUGAGGGGGGCUGCUCCUAGUACGAGAGGACCGGAGUGGACGCAUCACUGGUGUUCGGGUUGUCAUGCCAAUGGCACUGCCCGGUAGCUAAAUGCGGAAGAGAUAAGUGCUGAAAGCAUCUAAGCACGAAACUUGCCCCGAGAUGAGUUCUCCCUGAGACUUAAAGUCUCCUGAAGGAACG